GCCUGGGUGGCUAAGUUGGUUAAGCAUCCGACUUCAACUCAGGGCUUGUGGGUUCGAGCCCCAUGUCGGACU
RNAcentral lists this transfer RNA (72 nucleotides) under Felis catus (domestic cat). It matches the Rfam family "tRNA". From Rfam's summary of the family: Transfer RNA (tRNA) molecules are approximately 80 nucleotides in length. Lineage: Eukaryota; Metazoa; Chordata; Mammalia; Carnivora; Felidae. The record is from Rfam by way of RNAcentral.